Molecule: long non-coding RNA, 338 nt
Filed under: Oryctolagus cuniculus (rabbit)
Lineage: Eukaryota; Metazoa; Chordata; Mammalia; Lagomorpha; Leporidae
Description: lncRNA (ENSOCUG00000030841.1)
Source: RNAcentral
GCAGCAGGGUUUGCAACAGCUGGACUGGGAGCAGCUGGACUGGGAGCAGCAGGGCUUGCAACAGCUGGACUGGCCACAGCUGGACUGCGAGCAGCAGGGUUUGCAGCAGCUGGACUGGCAGCAGGCACUGGAGCCACAGCUGGAGGAGCAGGAGGGCACACAGCAGCACACGGGCUUGCAGCAGCACACGGGCACACAGCAGCUGGAGCCGCAGCCCCCACAGCUGUGGCUCCAGUGCCUGCUGCCAGUCCAGCUGCUGCAAACCCUGCUGCUCCCAGUCCAGCUGCUGCAAGUCCAGCUGCUGCAAACCCUGCUGCUCCCAGUCCAGCUGCUGUGUG